GCUAACGGCUGAACUGGCAACUUGGAGAAGUGGCAAGUCUUCCAGUAUGGGGAGCAAAACAGCUAUGGGUCAAGUCCGAUAUCUUUAGGAGGCGCGAAGCUCCUCUUAUUGUGAGGGCGAGUUUUAUAACACCAUAGGACUGGCCGCCCCAUAUGAAAAGAUUAUAUUAGAAUUGAAUGAAGCUUUGUUUAUAUAUUGAUAAUGACAGUAUAUAUAUCGUGUCUUGACUAAUUGCGUGCCAGCAGUCGCGGUAAUACGUAAGAGACUAGUGUUAUUCAUCUUAAUUAGGUUUAAAGGGUACCCAGACGGUCAAUAUAGCUUAUAAAAUGUUAGUACUUGACUAGAGUUUUAUGUAAGAGGGCAGUACUUGAGGAGGAGAGAUGAAAUUUCGUGAUACCAAAGGGACUCGGUAAAGGCGAAGGCAGCCCUCUAGGUAAAAACUGACGUUGAAGGACGAAGGCACAGAGAACAAACAGGAUUAGAUACCCAAGUAGUCUUUGCAGUAAAUGAUGAAUGCCAUAGGUUAGAUCUGAGUUGGUAGUCUAGUUGAGUUAGUUUACUAAACUAAUGAUCUAUACAAGCCAGCCUUAGAUUUGGUCUAUAAAUGAAAGUGUAAGCAUUUCACCUCAAGAGUAAUGUGGCAACGCAGGAACUGAAAUCACUAGACCGUUUCUGACACCAGUAGUGAAG
Molecule: ribosomal RNA, 690 nt
Filed under: Fusarium circinatum
Lineage: Eukaryota; Fungi; Ascomycota; Sordariomycetes; Hypocreales; Nectriaceae
Description: SSU rRNA
Rfam family: Bacterial small subunit ribosomal RNA (bases 93-690)
Source: RNAcentral